This 253-nucleotide ribosomal RNA is filed under the name uncultured bacterium. Its description in RNAcentral is "partial 16S ribosomal RNA". It matches the Rfam family "Bacterial small subunit ribosomal RNA", at positions 524 to 776 of the family's 1533-position model. The record is from RNAcentral.
UACGGAGGGUGCGAGCGUUGUCCGGAGUCACUGGGCGUAAAGGGCGCGUAGGUGGCCCGGUAAGCGUGCGGUGAAAGUUCGAGGCUCAACCUCGAAUCGGCCGUGCGAACUGCUGGGCUUGAGCACUGUAGAGGCAGAUGGAAUUCCGGGUGUAGCGGUGGAAUGCGUAGAGAUCCGGAAGAACACCGGUGGCGAAGGCGGUCUGCUGGGCAGUUGCUGACACUGAGGCGCGACAGCGUGGGGAGCAAACAGG